Molecule: non-coding RNA, 198 nt
Organism: Camellia sinensis
Lineage: Eukaryota; Viridiplantae; Streptophyta; Magnoliopsida; Ericales; Theaceae
Source: RefSeq, a predicted model, not a curated record
GAUUUGAUUUAGAUCAUUGACGUUCUACAUCCAAGAAGACCAAAUGUUUCCAAGGCGGAGCUGAAGGAAAAAUUGUCUAGGAUGUAUGAGGUGAAAGACCCAAAUGCCAUCUUUGUUUUUAAGUUACGGACCCAUUUUGGAGGAGGCAAAUCUACUGAUUUUGGUUUGAUUUAUGAUUCUGUUGAGAAUGCAAAGAAA